CUCCCGCUGAGCAGGGAGCCCGAUGUGGGACUCGAUCCCAGGACCCUGCAAUCAUGACCUGAGCUGAAGGCAGAUGCUUAAUGACUGAGCCACCCAGGCGCCCCUGUGUCUUUAUUUCUGCUAUAAAUAUAUAGCAUUAUUGAGCCUGAAAAUUAAGGAAACAAAUGGUUUCCUCUCUUCCACCCACCUCCUCCCCUCACUUCUCAACCUUUGUAAGUUUCCCUUCCUAUGAUUAGAAAAAUUUGUAAACACCUUACAGCCAGAGAAGCCGGACAAAGAAGAUGGAAGGUGUGAGGAAGAGGUAAACGAGAAGAGGCAAAGGUUCACAUUUGAAUGAUGACUGCAAUCCUUUCUUGAAACCAAGAAGAUAAAGUGUAGCUUUCAUAAUCACCAUGAGGACAUGCCAUGGUAGCCUGUGAUCCCAGAAGAAUCAAAGUCAUGUGGAGCAGAUGUAGACCAAGCUCACUGGAACUCAA
Long non-coding RNA from Zalophus californianus (California sea lion), 476 nucleotides. RefSeq lists it as uncharacterized. The transcript has 4 exons. Lineage: Eukaryota; Metazoa; Chordata; Mammalia; Carnivora; Otariidae. The record is from RefSeq and is a predicted model, not a curated record.